UACGGAGGGUGCAAGCGUUGUCCGGAAUCACUGGGCGUAAAGGGCGCGUAGGCGGCCUGGUAAGGAGGGGGUGAAAUCCUGCGGCUUAACCGCAGGGCUGCCUUCUAAACUGUCAGGCUUGAGCACGGUAGAGGCAGAUGGAAUUCCCGGUGUAGCGGUGGAAUGCGUAGAGAUCGGGAAGAACAUCAGUGGCGAAGGCGGUCUGCUGGGCCGUUGCUGACGCUGAGGCGCGACAGCGUGGGGAGCGAACAGG
This 253-nucleotide ribosomal RNA is filed under the name uncultured bacterium. RNAcentral describes it as "partial 16S ribosomal RNA". It matches the Rfam family "Bacterial small subunit ribosomal RNA", at positions 524 to 776 of the family's 1533-position model. The record is from RNAcentral.